UGCAGAAUCCCGUGAACCAUCGAGUCUUUGAACGCAAGUUGCGCCUGAAGCCAUUAGGUUGAAGGCACGCCUGCCUGGGCGUCACGC
Molecule: ribosomal RNA, 87 nt
Filed under: Kalmia latifolia
Lineage: Eukaryota; Viridiplantae; Streptophyta; Magnoliopsida; Ericales; Ericaceae
Also listed under: 1 other name
Description: partial 5.8S ribosomal RNA
Rfam family: 5.8S ribosomal RNA
About the family: 5.8S ribosomal RNA (5.8S rRNA) is a component of the large subunit of the eukaryotic ribosome. It is transcribed by RNA polymerase I as part of the 45S precursor that also contains 18S and 28S rRNA.
Source: RNAcentral